UUUCUUGUUUGCUCGCUUAUUUGAAUGUUUCAAUGGCUGGAAUAUUACGUAAGGUUUGAUCUAGUUGGGCAGCAUUCACAUUUAUGUUUAAUAUAUCCAUGUCAUCUAUUUAUUGGCUCAUAACCUUAUGCUUAUCUUGUAUCAGGUGAAAUUUCCACAAGGGAUUGAAAUUUUGAACAUAUUCAAGAACUACUCAUCCAAAACUUCCAUAUUGGAUGACUUUGAUUUUUAUGAGAACCGGCAGAAGGUCAUGCAGCAUAAGAGGAGUAAGCCGCCGAUCCCGAAUUUUGACCUUCCAUCGCUCAAAGUUGAAGAAUUGUCACAGGUCUCAAAGCCAGAUGAUGAUCUGAAGUCUGUUUCAAACCCUCAAUCUGUAGAAGCUGUGUUGUUGGCCGUGGAUGUGGCAGAAUAAUGACUCCUCAAUUGGAAGCUUGGCUUGCUUGUCUCUGCUGUCAUUAGCUCAUAAUUAUUGGCGUUACUGAACAAUGCCAUUCUUCGAGGAUUCAGUUUGUUGUUUGCCUGACAAUCCGUUGAAAGAUUAACUUCUAAUUUGUACAGGAAGAAAGGGGUUAGUGUUCAAGAAAAUCUCCCCAAGAGCAUCGGGUGCCAUGAUUGGGCUGAGAUCAUUGUUGCCGAUCAGCAACAGCUUGCAGGAAUCACCGCUGCAGUUUAUAGAUCAUUUCCCCCCUUUGUUCUCUCGCAUGAUUUCCUUUUCUGUUUGUUGGCAUUUUUUUGGCCUUUUGUUUCUCUUUCCAUUGUUGGGCUUGUGAUGGUUGGUCAAGUUUCUUUGGUGUCCGUAUUGGUUCCAUGGGUUGGGAAAUGAUGCCUAUGGAGCUUGUUCCUUCAUUACUGUUGUAAAGUUCAAAAAGAAAAGGAAAAAAAUAAAAAAGAAAAGAAAAAUGACCCAAGUUAUUUGCUUGGCA
Molecule: long non-coding RNA, 923 nt
Organism: Asparagus officinalis (garden asparagus)
Lineage: Eukaryota; Viridiplantae; Streptophyta; Magnoliopsida; Asparagales; Asparagaceae
Exons: 2
Source: RefSeq, a predicted model, not a curated record